CAAGAAUUUGUUUACAAGGAGCCUGCAAUAACCAAACUUGCAGAGAUAUCUCACAGAUUGGAGUGUAGUGGAUGGACCGGAAGCAUUGGGUUCACCUGGGAGAUUGUUUGAAAUGCAGAACCUCAG
This 126-nucleotide small RNA is filed under the name Pan troglodytes (chimpanzee). RNAcentral describes it as "processed transcript". Lineage: Eukaryota; Metazoa; Chordata; Mammalia; Primates; Hominidae. The record is from RNAcentral.